This is a long non-coding RNA of Mytilus californianus (California mussel), 436 nucleotides long. RefSeq lists it as uncharacterized. The record is from RefSeq and is a predicted model, not a curated record. NCBI's taxonomy places the organism in Eukaryota, Metazoa, Mollusca, Bivalvia, Mytilida, Mytilidae. The transcript is spliced from 3 exons.
UCAUCAGUGCAUUCUCAGGGCCCAGUAAAGUAAUCAGGAGGUGCUACAUCAAAAGUACAUUCUCAGGGCCCAGUAAAGUAAUCAGGAGGUGCUACAUCAUCAGUACAUUCUCAGAGCCCAGUAAAGUAAUCAGGAGGUGCUACAUCAUCAGUGCAUUCUCAGGGCCCAGUAAAGUAAUCAGGAGGUGCUACAUCAUCAGUACAUUCUCAGGGCCCAGUAAAGUAACCAUGAGGUGCUACAUCAUCAGUGCAUUCUCAGGGCCCAGUAAAGUAAUCAGGAGGUGCUACAUCAAAAGUACAUUCUCAGGGCCCAGUAAAGUAAUCAGGAGGUGCUACAUCAUCAGUACAUUCUCAGGGUCCAGUAAAGUAACCAGGAGGUGCUACAUCAUCAGUGCAUUCUCAGGGCCCAGUAAAGUAACCAGGAGGUGCUACAUCAU